GAAUUCGCCCUUAGAGUUUGAUCCUGGCUCAGGAUGAACGCUGGCGGCGUGCUUAACACAUGCAAGUCGAACGAGAGAAGAUCGGUGCUUGCACUGAUCCGAUCGAGUGGCGGACGGGUGAGUAACGCGUGGGUAACCUGCCUCAUACAGGGGAAUAACAGUUGGAAACGGCUGCUAAAACCGCAUAAGCGCACGGUAUCGCAUGAUACAGUGUGAAAAACUCCGGUGGUAUGAGAUGGACCCGCGUCUGAUUAGCUAGUUGGUGAGGUAACGGCCCACCAAGGCAACGAUCAGUAGCCGGCCUGAGAGGUUGAACGGCCACAUUGGGACUGAGACACGGCCCAGACUCCUACGGGAGGCAGCAGUGGGGAAUAUUGCACAAUGGGGGAAACCCUGAUGCAGCGACGCCGCGUGGAGGAAGAAGGUCUUCGGAUUGUAAACUCCUGUUGUUGAGGAAGAUAAUGACGGUACUCAACAAGGAAGUGACGGCUAACUACGUGCCAGCAGCCGCGGUAAAACGUAGGUCACAAGCGUUGUCCGGAAUUACUGGGUGUAAAGGGAGCGCAGGCGGGAAGACAAGUUGGAAGUGAAAUCCAUGGGCUCAACCCAUGAACUGCUUUCAAAACUGUUUUUCUUGAGUAGUGCAGAGGUAGGCGGAAUUCCCGGUGUAGCGGUGGAAUGCGUAGAUAUCGGGAGGAACACCAGUGGCGAAGGCGGCCUACUGGGCACCAACUGACGCUGAGGCUCGAAAGUGUGGGUAGCAAACAGGAUUAGAUACCCUGGUAGUCCACACCGUAAACGAUGAUUACUAGGUGUUGGAGGAUUGACCCCUUCAGUGCCGCAGUUAACACAAUAAGUAAUCCACCUGGGGAGUACGACCGCAAGGUUGAAACUCAAAGGAAUUGACGGGGGCCCGCACAAGCAGUGGAGUAUGUGGUUUAAUUCGACGCAACGCGAAGAACCUUACCAAGUCUUGACAUCCCUUGACGAUGCUGGAAACAGUAUUUCUCUUCGGAGCAAGGAGACAGGUGGUGCAUGGUUGUCGUCAGCUCGUGUCGUGAGAUGUUGGGUUAAGUCCCGCAACGAGCGCAACCCCUAUUUCCAGUAGCCAGCAGUCAGAUGGGCACUCUGGAGAGACUGCCGGGGAUAACCCGGAGGAAGGUGGGGAUGACGUCAAAUCAUCAUGCCCCUUAUGAUUUGGGCUACACACGUGCUACAAUGGCAGUUACAAAGAGAAGCGAAACUGUGAAGUGGAGCAAACCUCAAAAAGGCUGUCUCAGUUCGGAUUGUAGUCUGCAACUCGACUACAUGAAGCUGGAAUCGCUAGUAAUCGCAGAUCAGAAUGCUGCGGUGAAUACGUUCCCGGGCCUUGCACACACCGCCCGUCA
This 1388-nucleotide ribosomal RNA is filed under the name uncultured bacterium. Its description in RNAcentral is "bacterial SSU rRNA". It matches the Rfam family "Bacterial small subunit ribosomal RNA". The record is from RNAcentral.